AUCACAUAAGAGAAGUAGGUCAAUGGCUUACAACUGCUGGCCAGUGAUUAUUCUUUCACGAGUGCCCGGGGGGGAAACAAAACAAACAAACAAAAACAGGCAAAAGCUACAGGCACAUGAAAGACCUCCACUGAUAGUACUGUGGAAUAUUGGGUUGGAGGGAUUUAAAGUAGAACGUGGGAGACCAGACAGAAGUCUACAGCAAAAGGCCAGGCAAAAACUUGAUGAGAGCCUAGAAUACAGAAGUGGCAAAAAAGAAAACUUCAAAUGUCACAGUACAAAUCCUAUUGUUCACUAUCCUGGGUCCCAUCUCAAGCAACGUGCAUAUUAUAUAUAUUCCCAGCUUCUGGACACAGAACACAGUGAUCCCUCAAUUAGUGGAUACUUGUGAUAUGAAAGAACUGAGGAUUUGGGAGGAGUGCAGAGGAGUAACAUUGGUCACUGGCAGAAAGAGAAGAGGAAGGAGCAGGAAGGGAGCAGAAAGGAAGAACUGAGAAAA
This 499-nucleotide non-coding RNA is filed under the name Pongo abelii (Sumatran orangutan). Lineage: Eukaryota; Metazoa; Chordata; Mammalia; Primates; Hominidae. The record is from RNAcentral.